GACGAACGCUGGCGGCGGGCUUAACACAUGCAAGUCGAACGGAAAGGCCCUGCUUUUGUGGGGUGCUCGAGUGGCGAACGGGUGAGUAACACGUGAGUAACCUGCCCUUGACUUUGGGAUAACUUCAGGAAACUGGGGCUAAUACCGGCUAGGAGCUCCUGCUGCAUGGUGGGGGUUGGAAAGUUUCGGCGGAUGGGGAUGGACGCGCGGCUUAUGAGCUGGUGGGUGGGGUAGUGGCUUACCAAGGCUUUGACGGGUAGCCGGCCUGAGAGGGUGACCAGCGACAUUGGGACUGAGAUACGGCCCAGACUCGUACGGGAGGCAGCAGUGGGGAAUAUUGCACAAUGGGCGGAAGCCUGAUGCAGCAACGCCGGGUGCGGGAUGAAGGCCAUCGGGUUGUAAACCGCUUUCGCCUGUGACGAAGCGUGAGUGACGGUAGUGGGUAAAGAAGCACCGGCUAACUACGUG
Molecule: ribosomal RNA, 468 nt
Filed under: uncultured bacterium
Lineage: Bacteria
Description: partial 16S ribosomal RNA
Rfam family: Bacterial small subunit ribosomal RNA
Source: RNAcentral